CUACAUUUAAGGAUGAGAUCCAUAAUUUUAGGCAAUUGCAUUCUGAAUCAAUGUAUGAGGCAUGGUUUUUAUUUAAGAAGAAGUUAAUGAUGGUGCCUAAUCAUAGAAUUAUUUGUCCAAUUAUGUCAAAUUUUGUUAGUGUGAAUGACGCCAAAUCUAUGCACCCAAGGUGUCACAAGUAUGUUCCUAACUCUCUUAUUUUGUAGAGGCCUAAUGCAAUAGGAACAAUACAUGACUAUUUGUUGGGGGUGGGGCUACUUAUGGGUCUAGAUAUUAUUUUGGAGUUUUUGUUGUUGUGCCUCUUUUCCUUGGAGUGUGGUAUUAUUAGAGCUGGCAUGUUUAGGAUGUAUAGUAUUUUUUUCUUAAUGUUUUGUGUUGUAUUUAUUUAACUAGGAGAAAAAAAUAAGCACCUAAGGCAGUUAUGAUGCAUUUUGACUGUGCUUAAAUAGUUUUAGAAAAAAAUGAUACCCCUUCAAAAAAUAUAUAUUGAACUGUGUGAGGUGGAUAUAUAUAUGUGACCACUGUGAAUCUCUCUAUGGCAUUAGAAUUAGGGAUAUAAUAAUCAUAGCUAGUAUUUUCAUGAACCGUAUAAGUAGUAGUUUGUGAUAUAAUCAUGUUCCAUGUGUGUCUGAGAUGACUACUUUGUUCCCAUUAUGUGUUAAAUCCAGAACUUACUCGAUUAGUCUUGCCCAGGUUGUAGGAUCAUCGCUUAGGAAAUGAUCAUAGGUCAUUCUUAAAAUCAAUGCAAUUUUAUCCUAAAUAACCUUCCAAAUAUCAAUAAGUAUCCCUUGAUCCUUAUUUUGAGCCUAUAUAGACUAUUUUUCUUGUUUCACCUGUUACCUCUCCAUUUUAGUAAAAAUGAACCUGUUUUAGCUCUAGUCGUCCAUGGACAUUGUACCUCUUAACUCAGGAAAAUCGACUAAGUUUUGGGUGGGUAUCAUAGGGGUGAAUGAAUUGAAGUGGGUAUGAAGAAGGGUGUAAAAAGGAGAAAGAAGACCGUAGGGUUGGGUGUGGUAGAAAAAAGAAAAAAAGAGAAAAAAAAAGAAAAAGAAAAAUAAAAAAAAGGAUAUAAGAAAUCGGCACCCAACUUUAAUGGCAAAUAAGAGAAUAAAAAGGGAGAAAUAAGGAUGGAAAAAAAGAAAAUUGGUUUAUAAGUGGACCUAUAACGUAAUUGUAGUACUGAGGAGGCUUACUCACUAAAUUUGAAAAUGUACCAUACCAGCCCUAAGCCUACAUUACAAGCCAAGUAUAGUCCUAUAGUGAUCCAAACCUGAUUUUCUGAAAGCUAAGGUAAAGAAAAUAAGGGAAGGCCUAUGGUAUUCUAUAUAGAUUGUGAAACUUCUUUGUGAGUGUGAGUGUCUCGUGGUCAUCCCUGCAUUAACAUGCAUGAUUUUAUUAAGUGGGUGGGACAUCUUUAUUGUGAGGCUACAUAGAUUUUGUUGAUAACUGCUUGUCUGCUCGGGUAGUGUAAGUUGUAUAUAUGCCUGAUUAUGUGUUGCUAAUGUAAGGACAUAGCUUGAUUCCAUUGGGUCACAUUGUUGGGCUGCAUUGAUUCACACAGUUGGUUUUGAAAAGUUAAAAUAGGAGGGGGUGAUGUUUUUAGAUGAAUUUGAGAUUGACUGCCACAGGUAUCUUAGGUUUGUCUUGGUUAAGUUUCAUUGUUAUGUUUCGCUGUGUUUUUGUUUCUUGAAGGAAUGAAAAUGUUCUAAGUUAAAGGUGUUGACGUUCCAUGAUUUCAUGGCACUAUCAGUGCUUAAAACAAGAAAUAUGCAAGUACUUAGGCUUGUUUGGGUAGAUAUGAUGUAUUUUGUGUUGUGUUUUGUAGAAAAGUAGCUUUUGGAGAUUAACAUGGAGAAAAUGAGUCAAAAUCUAUAGAAAAGCCCAUAUACGAGGCUACCUAUGUAGCAUAGGUAGCACUUACCUGGAGUUGAUAGCCUGGUAGGUGUUAGAGUGUCAGACUUUAGAGAAACAGAAGUUGAAUAAUUUAGACUUCUACCUACGAAGGUGUCACCUAUGACCCGUAGGUACCACCUACAGUGCCGUAGGUAUCAGUAUAGGUUUCUGAACUUGAAUUUCAGAGAAACUGAAGAUGGUAGGAAUUUCUGCUACAUACGAUGGGUCACCCUGAAGUAAGAACCACCUACGAUGGUUGAUCCAAAGUUUUCCAGUUUAUUUUGGUUUAGAUUUUUAGGGGUUUUAUGUAAUAUAUAAAUACUCUUUUAAAUUUUUCAGCCAAUUUUAUGUAACUUUACGCACUCUUACCAUUCAAAAACAUAUAUUUGAUUCUAUGAUUGACUUUUGAUCUUGGAAUCUUCUUAUUCUUAGUUUUUGGUUGAUCAAUUGAUUUGAGAUUUUGGGUUUUAAUCUUCAUUAUUGUAAGAUUACUUCUAUGUUUUUUAUAUUGAAUUCCAUGGAUUGUUUUGCAACUAUGAGCGGCUGAUUCCCUUAGCUAGGGUUGAGGGAACCUGGCAGAAUAAUGAAGUAGGAAAAGUGUGAGGUUCUUCUAGAUCACUAUUUACACUUGCAUUAUGAAUACGACGCAGCUGCAGACCAUAGGUCCAAAUCCUGCAGCCUAGCUCUCGGGUUUUCGACCUCUGGCACCUAUUUUUUCCAUCCACGAUUUAUAGGUCCUACAUGUAGUCCAUAGGUUACCUUUGUAGGUGUUUGGAGUCAUCUUUUCAGCUUUUUUUCACUUCUCGAACAUGCUUUGAUCAUGAACAAGCUGGAAAACAUCCCCAAUAUCCAUAAUUGCUCCAAAAGUGGCUAAAAAAUCUUUUUCACCUACUUAUCAUUCAAUACAUGAUUUCUUGCAAAACAUACCCAAAAUAGAUAAUACCUAACAAAAUAGCCUCAGAAACUUUCAUAUCACAAAGUGGCCUUGCAUACCAUAAAAUAGCCUCAAAACAUACCAUAAAGUGACCUAGCCUCGACAUCAACCUACGCUCCACACCUGUGUCCAGGCAGUGGUGCAGGUACCACCCGCAGCCUGUAGAUGUUGGGUACAAGUGCCAGGCCAAAAUUUUUGGCCCACUUUUCUAUAACCCGAACUCGGCAUUUCGAUAAUUUUCCAGAUACUUAUUGUCUCACAACCUAAGUUUUAGGUCCCAAAAGUAAAAUUAAAUGCCAGAGUCUGUAACUUACCAUUUUUCAUCCUCUAAAUUUCAACCUUUUGACUUAUUAUUCAACUUAUCGUGUGGGACUUAUGAUUAUGAUAGGGUGUCACAUAGUUCCCUUAUCUGGAAAUUGAUGAAUGUAGUAAUUUUUGUCGUAUUUCGGGUAAGGUCCAAAAGCUAAAAUCCUACAAAAAGGUAAAAACAAUAAAAACAUGAACACUAAAAUAGUGAGUUUCCUCUCACUCAGCGCUUUAUUUAACGUCGCGGCACGACACGGGUAUCUUAAUUACUUAAAAUUCAUCAAGAUACCCAUAGGAGUAUCCUCCAGGGUUACCAAUAUAAUUAAUCAUGGACACUACCCUCAUGUUGUUUGUUUGUUUCAUUGACUUUUGGAUAUUAAAUGUCGCCUCCUUACUGAUGACUCUGAAUAUGUUAACCAUAGCUCUGCCUGUAGCCAUAAAUAGUCUUUCCAAUAUAAUGGACAUUUCGGUGUCAACCUCACAGUCCAGUAUGACAAAAUCAGCCAGAAAAAUAAAGUUAUCCACCCUCACGGUCAUAUCAAACGUGAUUCCCACAGGCUUUUUCAAUGUGUAUUCAAUCAUCUACAGCUGCAUUAAAGUCAAUUUUAGAGGCUUUAAUCUUAAUUACUUGAAUACAGAUAGUGGCAUCAAAUUAAUGCUGGAUCCAAAAUAACACAAGGCUCGGGCAAAUUAGGAUGACCUAAUAGUGCACGAUAUAGUGAAUGCUCAGGGAUCACCCUUUUUCUGGGUCAAGGACAUAGUUGUGAUGGCACUGCAAUAGUGAACACAAUCAACACCCUUAAAUGCCACUUAUUUCUUUCUUAUGACUAACUAUUUCAUGAACCUGGCGUAUCCAGGCAUAUGCUCUAAUGCCUAUUGGAGAGGUAUGUUCAAGCUCAAUUUUUUCAGCAUAUUAAAGAAUUGUUUGAACUUACCUUCCUCUUUCUUUUGCCUCAAUUAUUGAGGAAAAAGUGGGGCUAGUCUCAAAAUCUGUUUGAUUUCUGAAUUAGUGAUGGAACCCAUACCUUUAUCUUCAGCAGCUAUACCUUCAUCAAUUGUUACCUUCUCAGACUUAAUAGCAAGUGUCUCAUUAUCAAUAUCUUCUGCAGUAGGUCGUGGGGGAUCCAUAGUAGUGAUACCAAUCCUUAUGGUAAUAGAAAGUACGUGACCAUCAUUUUUAUGAUUUUGCAUCGUGUUACUCAAAAGGGUACCUGGCAGUCUCUGGUUCAGAACUCCUGACAUCUACCCAAAAAGGUGUUUUAACUUCUUGAUGGUAGUGUAUAUGACUCAAACUUGUGGGUCAAUCGAAAUGUCAGCCAUAAUCUCCUUAAGGCUGAUCUCUUGAUUUUUCUGACCCAUUAUGGAUUCUGCAUAUCAUCUACCAGAUGGAAUAUAUCUAUCUCCCUUCUCUCUGUAGUCAUUCUUCUUCCUUCAGUCACCAUCUCACUCUCUGCUAUGAUAUCUAUAUCUGUCAUAGUAGUUUCAACCUUGAUACCCUUUCCCUUGGGCUGGAAAACCCGCCAUCUGACCAUCCAGACAAUUUGCUUCCCCUUCAUAUUCUGACUUGUAUUCUUUAGAAGAUGACCCCUAUGUUGUUGCUACAUUAACUUUCUCAAAAUUUGUUUCUGCUAGAUAGUUUGCUGGUACCCCCAAAAUCAGUCCUUAGUAAUGCAAUAUCUUGUACUAAUAUAUCAUCAACUGAUCCCUGGUUGCAAGAGGCUCCAUUAGUAUAUGUACCAAAUCCCCUCUAAGCCUCUCACAUUUGAUACCCUUGGUUAUUAAGUCAAAUCCGAUCUAACAUCUCCGGAGAUGCCUCCUAGUGUAGUCUCAUAAAAUUUCUUCUAGAAAUGGUGUUUGUCAUGUCUCUAGAGCUAAUGGCCAGGGCUCUAUAGAAUAUCCCUAAUGAGCUCAUCCCUGACAACUAAUAAUUGGGAACCAUGCUUAUCUUUUUCUUGAACCUAAACUAAGCCUCAUACAUAGACUCUGACUGCAGCUACCUAAAGUUAUAGAUCUUUUCCUUGAGCUAGAACAUCCUAGAUAGAGGAACGAACCUAUACAAGAAUUGCUUGCACAACUUGUUCCAUAUAGUGAUAAAGCCUCUUGGCAGUUCCACUAAUCAUAAAGAUACUUCUCUUGUAAGUGAGAAGAGGAACAACCUCAAUCUAAGUAUUUCUUGCUUCACCCCUGGUUUACUAUACAAACUACAGAACCUAGGGAAAUUUUCCAUGUGAAAAUUUGCAUUAUCUGUAAGCAGACUUGCAAACACACCUUCAGAUUUAGAAUUUGGAUCAUUGCAUUCAUGAUGUCGAAAUUAAUUCCUAGGGGGAAAACAGGAGGAACUAUGCUCCAGUCUCUAUCAUCUCAAUCUAUCCUAAGUGUUCUUUAUCAUUUAUACAUGGUUGCACAUACUGAUACGAUGGCAUAACUUGAACACGGGCACCUCUAGCUAUGUUCUGGUUUCCUUCAAGUGUUGUCAGCAGUUUGCUACUAGUGUCUGCUCAACUAGCUCUACCACCCUAGCUAUAUGCUAAUCUUCUUCAGUUUCCCUCCUCUCGUUCUCUGCUUGAUCGAAAAGUUGAUUGGUUUAUCGAUGAGCUAUAUCUUUUACUCCUUCAAGAGGAGGGGGGUAGAUCAUCACGAACCCAUUCAGGAGGUUCAUCUCUUUUCUUCUCAAAUAUCUUACUAGGUGUUUUUAGGAUCUUCUCUGAAUUCAAAUUCACUGGGAGUAAGGGAUCGCCUCAACCCGUGCUAGGCAUACACAAAUAUAUGCCCAACUAUGAAUAAGAAAAAAAAGAAAAAACCCAAAAACUGCAAAAACUUUUGAUUACAACUCAACAUCGUGUUCCCCAACAACAAUGCCAAAUUUUUUAUUGACAUCCAAAAAACACCUCCUAUUAGGUGAUGAAAUAGCUGUUGUCAAAAUAUAGUAAACCAUUAGAGGUUGAUGUUAAAUCCAAAGGGAACAUGUGGUUUGCAGAUCUCAGCAGUUGUAGUCAACGGGCAAAACAAGAAAAGUAAAUGAGGGGUUUAAUAUAGUAAACUCGAUUAUAAUUAGUGUAGGUGAAAACAAAGAUUGUGUUCCCCCUGCCUUCUCAAAUCUGAGGCUUAUCCUGCGUUGUUGUACCAACCCAAUAAAUUGCAUCCAGAAUUGAUAUACCAACCCAAUCAAUCUGUUUCGUUUUCUGAAAUUUCAUAUAUACUAUCCUCACUUUCUAAUUCAUAAUCUAUAUAAUCUAUCUGCAUAUAUUCUAUAUUAUCUAUUUUUAUUUCUGAUAUUUGUUUAUUUUUUGAAUUUUUAGGUAAUUUACAAUCUCUAGCUAAAUGGCGUAUCUUUCCACAAUUAUAACAAGUACAUUCUUUUAUAGACUUCUUCUUUCUAUAUGGUCUUUUGUAUUUAUAAUUUUUUAUAUAAUAUCUUUUUCUCGGUUUCUUAUAUUUAUAUUUUGAUUUUUUAUAUUUCUUAUAUUUCUUAUGUCUUUUUCUUUUCUUAUAAUAUCUUUCUUCACAUCCAAAUUGGGGUGCUAUUUUAUUUUUGCAACAUGCUAAAUUCUUUAUUAAUGUUUUUUCCAUUUUUAAUUCUUCUCUAUAUUUUUCACAUAAGUUUCUAUACCAUUGUUGUAAAAAUUUUAUUCUUGCUCCUAACGUAUCUACUAUUUUUGCUUCUUCCCAACUUUUUAUUAUCUUUAAACUAAAUGGUUCGGGUAAUUUAUUAAAAUAUAAUUUUCUUAUCUCUUUACUUUCUUCUAUACUAUAUGCUCCUUUAUAAUAAUAUUCUUUAAAUGCGCAAGUAUAUUCAUCUAUAUAACACAUAUUACAUAUUGCUAAUUUUAACAUUAAAUUUCUAUUUGUAUCUUUUUCUUCAUCUUGUUCUUCUUCUAUUGUUGUCAUACUACCAAAUUCAUCUUUUAUAGCUGUUUCAUAUUUUUUUAAUAAUUCUAUAGGUGUUAGUUUAGUUGUUGUCGAUGAUGUUCCUUCUAUAGGUUUAUUAGUUCUUAAUACUUUUUUGCUAUUUUCGGUUAGAUUUGCAAACCAUAGUUUUACUGAUCCUAUUAGUGUUUUUUCUAUAUAUUCCGGUGCAUCUGUUAUAUUUAUAUUAUUAUCUAAUAAUUGUUUUGUCAUAUAUCCUAUCCAUAAUUGUAUUGUUUUUUCUGUAUCUAUUACACAGUCUAGAUCUAAAAAGUUAUAAUUUUUAUUCACUAUUUGUUUUGGUAUCCAUUUAUCAUAUUCAUUAUAUUUUUUAAACUUAUUCUUAUAAUAUAUAGGUUUUCUUAUUUCUGUUGUUUUAGGUAUUAUAUUUUCAUUUUCUUUUUUAUCAAGAGUAUUUAUUUCUGUGUGGGUAUUUUCUAAGUUUUCCUCAUUAAUUUUUUGUUCUUCAUUGAUUUCUAAAUUUUUUGUAUUUGUUAAUAUUUCUGUGUAUGUUUCACUAUCUUCGGACUCAUAAUUAUCUGUCUCUUCAAUAUCUAUAUUAUUUAUUUCUAAUUCUUCAUUUUUUAUUUCUAAUUUUUCCUUAAAUUGAUUUAUCUCAUUUAGUAAUUUCUGUUCUCUAUCUUUUUCUUCUUUUUCUUUUUGUCUUUGUUCAUACAGUUCUUUUAACAUUUGUAAUUCUUUUUCUAAUUCAGCAAUUCUACUAUUUUUGGUUUCUUCUAUUUUUCGUAUUUCUUCCGUAGUUUGUUGUUUUAUUUUUUCUAUUUCUUUUUUCCUAUCUAUCUCUUCAUUUUCUUUUUCUAUUCUUACCAUUGCUGUUAAUUUAUCUUCUAAUUUUAAUUCUUCUUUUUCUAACAUUAGAUAUAAAUGUUCACCUAUUUUCUUAUAUCUUCGUCCUAGAUUAGAAAAUACUAUUUUUAUUUUUGAUCCUUCGUAGUUUUCAUAUAUUUUUUCAUCUAUUAUAAAUUCUUCUUUAUUCAUUUUAUUGUGAAUAGGUCAUGUUGAUAUACAUAUUCUAAACUAUCUAUUUGUGAUUCUAAUUUUGAUAUUUCAUCUUUUUGUGUAUCUAUUGAAUUUUUACUAACUCCGGCAAAUAUAUUAUAAUGUAGUCUUUCUAUUCUUAUUUUUAAUUCUUUACGUUUUUCAGAGAUAAUUUGUCUUAAUUCUUUAUAUUGUUGUAUUUUAUUCAUUUUAAAUUAUAUUUAUAAUAUCUCGGUGGAUAUCUAAAUCUAAUUUUAUCAUAAUUAGGUGGUAUAUGUUUCAUUCUUCUAGAUUUUAAAUGUGUUAUUAAUUUUGAUUCAAUACUUUUCUAAUAUGAUUUUUCUUAUAUCUACUACUUUUAUAUCUUUAAGUGCAUACAAAAUAAGUAUUUUAAAUCUAUCUACCAUCACAUUAGAUAAAUAAUUAUUCAUUUUCAUAACUUUGCUAUUUUUCAAAAUAUUCCCUUCAACCAUGUACAUAACAAAAUAUGGUCAUCUUAGAUUACUAUAUACUAGAUUAUUUUUAAAUAACAUGUUCUUCGGUCACUAUUAGCAUGGUAAUUUGGAUACUUUUUUCCUUAAACAAUGCCUCUACUCUGGUUACUCCCCGCCACGGCUUCUUGCCUCAUUGGUUUCACCUUUAGGAUGGCAUAGUUCUUAGGGAUUUUUCUCCAUUUCCACUUUGCUAAUAAACUUCGUAACAUAUUAUUCUUUGAAUAAUUCUACUAUAAACCCAAGAUAGAAUCCAAAGGAUUGACACUGGACAACAUACGAUUCAACUAUACCACUAGUACCCUAUACUCAUGACUCAUAGUGAGUCACUCAUACUCAUAGCCAAGUCAAGUUACUAAAUUUUUGAUUUUAUAAAGGAUCGUCCUAAUGACCUAUCACCACCCUUACAACCCGUACCACCAAGUCGUAACCACAACCCAACCACUAUCUACUGGACUCCUAAUGAUUUGGGUCACCUGACCUAUACCAACACCAUACGACUUAUAUGGUGAGUCAUUAAUAGGACAAUGAUAUCAAAGCUCAGGAAAUUUCCAAGGUUCAAAACCAAAGGUGUUUCAUUACUCUAUUUGAUCACACCUAUUUUUACUUUCAUCCUAUAAUUCUACAAAAAUUUAGCCAAGAGAGGCCACCUAUUAGGAACUUCCUUUAACCAUGGAUAUCUACAAGGGUCAGAUGGUGUAAAUUUUCAUCAAUCUCAUAAAUGUCCCUAUGCAUUGAUAUGUAACCUCCAUGAUUUAUAUUAUUUCUCCUUCUCUAUAGUAGCCAACAUAACAAACAUGGAAUAGCUUGAGCAAUAGGCUUAAUUAUGUCUUCAAAAUUUGUACUCCACCAUUUUGACAUAGCUUGGUGACAUUAUAUAAAUAUCCCUUCGACCCCUACACUCACGACAUAGUAGUUCUAUACCUUAGAAGAAAAUUGCUGGAAAUAAAUAAGUGGUGAAACAUUUCUAGAUAUGGUGGUACACAACACCUACAUCUAGAAACCAAAUUGAUACAAUAUCUUUGCAAGAUUUCAUCUAUAGGAACUUUAAAUUUCCAUAACCUCUAUAGAAAUAAAUUCAACUUGUCUACUACCCCUUUACUUCAUAUGUUCUCCCACUGACCCUUUAUUUCCUUCCUAUGUCUAAACAACUGAUAAGCAUUAGAUAUUGUAUAAUUCCCAUUUGUUAUUGGCAUCCACCAGGGAAAGUCCUAUGGUGAUGCAUUCUGACUGAUAUUAUAUUAUCCUUAAUGUGCUGAGUAAUGUCAGAGGGUAACACUCUCUCUAGCUUAUGUCUAUCGUAGCUGUAUCGUGUCAUUGAAUUAUCAAUACUACCUUCUUCUUCAUUGAUAGAAGAAUCCUUGGCCAAUAAUCAAAACAUAUAUUAGAUUAACCCAUAAUUGGUUCCCAUCGGAUUUCCUGUUCAAUUUCAUCCCUUGUCUCUAACAUUUUCUUCCAUACUUGAAAACCACCUUUCCACUACAUUACUAUUGGGAUAAGUUUCUUAUAUUACUUAUUCCAUAUAUAGUCAGUCCACAAAGACCUAAUGGUUCUAAAAAUCCCCCAUAGUUUAGAAAACAUGGCCUUAGAUAUGUCAAUGAGGCUUCUGAAUCCCACACCUCCUUCUUCUCUUGGGAGACACAUCUUUUCCUAUGCAAACCUAUGCUUAUUUUUACCUUACACUUUAGUGCUCCAUAACAUUCCACAAAAAAUAUUUUCAAGUUCAUAUAUAAUGAACUUAGGAGGCAACACAACUAAUAAUAAAUACAAAGGUAUGCUCUGCAGUACACUAGCGAUUAAAAAACUUUUGCCCCCAAAUAAAGCAAUUUACCUUUCCAGUUUUGAAGCUUAUUUUUCACCUUCUUGAUGAGAGCAUUAUAGUACUCUUUUAUUUUCCUAGCAUGGGUUACUGGACACCCUAAAUAUUGAAAAGAAAACUGUCCCUGAGUAAAACUAAUUAUGCCUUUCACUUCAAUCAUUGAAGAGACUGCCACUUUUUUAUACAUGUAAAAAGAAAUUUUACUUUUAUUUAUAAGCUGCUCAGGUCUUUCCUGAUACUAUUUGAUACUAUUUUAUCUAUAGAGGUAGAGAUUAUUUUAUCAUCUAUAUAUGCAAGAUGAUUUAGGUUCCUACUCUAUUUAGGCAACCCAUAACCUUUAUCCAUCCAUCUUCAAAUAGGGUAUUUAGGGACCUUGACAACAUUCGAAUGUUAGAAUAAAUAUAGAAGGUGAAAGGAAUUACCUUUUUUAAAGCCUUUAGUUGAAUGAAAAAACCCUUGUGACUGACCGUUAAUGAUGAUAGAGUACCAAUUAUUAGCGACUAACCUCCAAAUCUUUUCUAUGAAGGUUUCUGCAAAACCUAUUUUCCUCAUCACCUUAAUGAAGUACAACUAAGACAACCUAUCAUAUGCCGUAGACAUAUCCAAUUUCAUGAACUCAUUAGUUAGUUGCCUCUCAUCCUGAUAUCAGAUACCAUUUGCUGGGCUAAGAGAACAUUCUCAAUAAUGCUCCCUCCCAUAACUAGCCCUGACUGAUUAUUAGAGAUUUGUUUUUGAUGUAACUUUAAGUUGUAAUCUCUUUUUUCUUCCUUUUACAAGACUAUGAAAAAAUCUUGUAUUUAUAUACCCCUUCAAAAAACUAGGUUAUACCAGCUUUCUAUCUUUAGAAUUGUUCUUCCAGGUGAAGAUACCUUUUAACCUCUACUUGAGCCUAUUGUAAAACACUUACUAUUUUUUAAGUUGGAUGUUCUUCAAAAAUCUUCUCUUUAAUCUACAUAAUCUCUUCUCUGAUAUCUAGCUAUUGAAAAAUGUCACCAUAACUAUUUCUAUUUCAUUUACUCAAAGUUUUUUUUCAUAUUUUUCAUCUUAUGUUUGAAGAUCCAAAAACUGUUUCUUUCUUUCUCCGUCCUCUAAUGUUGUCUUACUACUUAUUUAAAAGUGAUAUAUUCCACCCAAAUUUCUAGGAAUUUAAAAUGUUUAACAAUUGUUGUGACCCUUUUUGCAUUAUAAGAAAAAGAGGAGUCUGAUCUAACCUAGUAAGAGGUAAGUGUACUAUUCCACCUCCAAUCUAGAAAACCAAUUUUAAAAAUAUGCAUUAGAGAAGAUUUUGUAUAAUCUUUCAAAGUACAAUCACUUCUUGCUUUGCCAUUCCCCCAAGUGAAGGGGCUCUCUUUAAAAGGUAUUUCUUCAAGUUCACAAGAAUUCACACAAAAGGCAUAAUCCUCCACCUCUUGUAGAGUCACUGGAAGACCCCGAAUUGUUAUUCUUUAUUCAAUACAGUAUUAUCAUGACCCAAACCAGGGCAAUGUGACGGGUAUCUUAAGUCUUCCAAGGACCGAAGACCACCCCUUACUUUCUAGUCAAUAGAACACAAUACAGUUAGCAGCAAGUGAAUGCCAAAAAUAAAACAAGAUAGGUAACUCAACUAAAUCAGUAAGGAACAAAAGAAUUUCAGCAACCAUCCCAGUCCAUAGUAAUCCACAAAGCCUCUAAUAACCAAAGACCACCUAUGUUGGGAAAUGCCCACGACCAUAGCCAAAAUAUGACCAAAAGGAAACCAAAGAAAUAGUAUAGGAUAUAGACUAAACCAAAAAGUGACAGGACUUUCGGAAGAGGGAGACUUCUCACUUAAAGUUGACUAAUGAAUGAUCAAAGAAUCACCUAUCACUGUAAAGGAAAAGCAGAAGUGUCUUCGAUUCCUGCAUCAUGUGGGGAUACAACAUUUAGAGACAGUUAGUGGGGUGAGUACUAGCAUGUAACUUAGAUAGUGAUAAAAUAAUGCCAAUUCAAAAGCAAGUCCAAACUCAAUGUACAUGUUCACAUACAUGCAGACAUAAUAUAUAUAUACAUAUAUCUGAGAGUUUGAGAUUAUGAACAAGGUUUAGCAUGAGAUUUAAAACAUUAGCCAGGGCUGCGUAGCUUAAUCAUCGUAAAAACACCCACGGGCUAUAUGGGUCUAGCCACUUUUGCUGGAUAGGUCCCAGUGCAUGUUAGCCUCACAAAUUAGAGAUAUCAUAGAGGUCGAAGAAUCUGUGACCCUUUGCCAUCCAUGAUACAAAUAUAUGUAUAGUGUGACACAAGCACACAUUCAUCAAUACCAACCCUCAUGUUGGCAAAAGUGAGUUUCCAGUAUCCUUCCAUCGAGACCUCUACUUUCAUGGCUUAGAUACAUAACCUUCUUUAAGCACAAUUAAAACAUGUACACAUUUCCAUUAAUUGAACCAUGAUUAUCCAUUAAGUCACACACUAUUUGUAUCGUCAUACAACCUACACUUGCAAGGUAAUAACAUUAUACUAUUUCAAUUAUUAUAAGUAAGGGAAUCCACAACCAUAAAAGCUCCAAUCAUCAUAUGGGGAAAUCCAUGACCGUUGAGUUUUAAUUUAAAACCAUUAUGUUUCAAUAGACUUUUAUAUCUUGCAAUUGUUCCAAAAGUAUUUCAAUGUUCAUUCCUUUAUGUUCAAAGCAAGUUUCACAAGAUUGGGUUGAGGUUAAACUAAUUAUAAUUGUCGUGCCUCAAAUCCUACUAGGGUAGACAAACAUCCGUAGUCGUGAAGGCCCGAGAGAACCAAUCCAUAACCUUUUAAUUCUCAUGUAUAUAAUUAUAAUAACCAAAGGUUUUGUCAUUCUUGGAUAUAAUACAAUGAUGAGAAAUAAACAACAAGCCCAAAACUAUAUAUAUCAGACUUGGUCGUUGGGGCCAUAAUAUCAAAGGGAUAAGACACUAUCAUGAUUAACUUUACAUUGGUCUACAAAAGCCUCUAAAAGAUAAAUAUACACUUAUUUAAGGUCAAGAAAACCCCCCACCUUACUCUUAACUACUGUACAAUACCAAAAAAUAUAAAAUAGACUCGAAAAGCCUCGAAUCAACCUGGAGCUCACCAAUAGCCACUGGAUAUCCUAAGCUCCUACUGAGAAGGUGUAUUAGCUAAAACACCUAUGCCUGUAGCAUGAAAUAAUGGUCCCCCAUAAGGGGCGUCAAUACGAAAAUAUUUACUGAAUAUAUAAGGAUGAAAGUAACCACAUAUGAUAUAGGAGCUCAAUGGAAAUAAGAUAUAAGUGCACAAAUAGUGCUAGUGGACCACCUUUAUAUACACUUAUAGGGUCAGGUACAUUAAAUUAUUUUAUUCAUUUUACCUUUCUUACUUCAUAAUCUUUGAAAGCCAUACGAUAUAAAUGACCAACUGAUCAAUGGUAAAUAGAUAAAUCAGGAUUGGCCCAUGCAAGCCUUAUGCCCUUGAGCUUCCAUGUAUAUAUAAACAUUGGGGUCGACCCAUGCUAGACUUACGCCCCUGAGCUACCACCCAUAGAAUAAAGGUAUCAAAAUCAGCCCAUGCUAGGCUCACUUCUUUGAGCUUCCACCUAGUCAAUUCAAAUUGUGUUACUUAGUUUAGUUAGCCUUUGAGAUUGUUACUUUGGUGGUCAUAACAUUAUGGUACCUUAGAACAAUAAUCUACCAGUAAGAGACAUGUAAAUGGGCACUUAAUGAAACAAAAAUAAAGUGGAGAGUUGUUGGCACACAAAUGAAAUAUUUAGGAGAUGGAAAUAACACAUAGGUCUUAUUUGACUAAACAGAGUACUCCUAAAAUUUUUUAAUGAAUAUAGACAUACAGGCUUAAUAAUAAGAAUAUAUUGAGGUAUUUUAACAUGUUAUAGGGUGGGAAUAAGGUCAUUAGCUACAUGUUAUAUCAUACACUACUAUUAUGUAUCACUUGCUUUAGGAUACCUUUGGAAGCUUACUUGAUGGGACAAGUGUCUAAUUUCAUGCAAAAGAGUGCAAAAUAGAGUAUGCCUUACAUAUCAGGUUGUAUAACUCCGAAACUAACCCAACUUGACUUCCCUUCUUUUAGAUUACUUAUCUAUGAUAAAAUAUAAGGUAAAUUAAUAUUAGCAACCAACCAACAUAUUUGGGCUACUUAACUUCACCAAAAUAGUAAUCGGGAAGUAGGCCCUUAAUUUAUCAAUCAAGGGUGUUAUUUUAACCCUUUUCUCCUCCAAUUACAUCCACAUACCAUGCAAAUUCUUAUAAGAUCCCCCAAAACAACUUUGGCUUCAUUACACCCUCUAAAUAAACAAAAUAGAAUAGGCAAUAAAUGUAUACAACAAUUAGCUCAGUGGUGUACCACCCUACCCUUCUUCAAUAUUUUAAAACAAACUAAUUAUACCUUUCCCCAACAUCAACCUGGUAUCCCCCAACAUACCCACAUAAAACAGUCCAUAAAAUAGACCCAAAUUUACCUUUAUCAUAACAACCAAAUAUUGAACUCAUCAUCCGUUGAGUUCUCAAUAACAACACAUCCAUAAUUCUUUCCUAAAUUAAUAUAUAAGGAGGACAAAAUGGAGCAGUCACCUCACCUUAAUUUUAUACAAUUUAUACUUUUAGCUUAAACUCUUUAAGAACUUAAAUUUCUCUUCAUACUUUAAACCAAAAAAAAGAAAAGAAAAGUCUCUUAAUAACAAAGCCAUAUAUUAAUAAUUUAAAACUUAUAGAAUUUCUUCCUAAUCUUCCUUGGGAAAACUAAGCUUAACCUUAAGUUUUUUCGCUUACUUUGGAUUGCAAAGGUUGGAGUUUCAUCAAGAACAUUAGAAAGAAAAAUAGGAAUUCUCCGUGUUGUUUUAGAGAGUAGAGAGAAUUUAUGAAAUAUAAUCCUUUUUGUGACUUAGAAAUAAACAAAAAUGACCAGCAACUUGUCCUUAUAAAGGCCCUAUUUCGGCCACCUAUUUAGCUGCAUUUUGAACCUCAAAAUUGGUCAAAUUGGUCCAAGUAGGUGAUGCACCUACUUAAGGAGUUCAAGCUUCUAAAAAGAUCAAAGUACGUGAUGCACCAAUUUGAGUGUUGGGUCAUUUCUCUAUUUUCUUCCCCUUUUUACUUAAUUUGGGCCCAAAUGAGUCUACUAAUAAAGGCCCAAAUCUGAUCCAUAGACUUGGUCCAUUAACUUAGCUCAUGAAACUCAUCUAGGUGACUCCCCCACUAACUUAAUUAAGUCAAGCAAACACCACAACCAAUUAAUCCAUUUUUCAUCCCCUAAUCCUUUUAAUCUAACUUAAAACUUAUAUGCAUUUGGUCACUUUAAACUUUAGACUCAAUACUGGCUAAUGAUUUCAAUCUAAAUAGUUAUAUCGAUGCUAACUUGGUCGAAUCGCAUUAAAACUUAUGGGAAAUAUUUAGAACCCCAUGUACUCCAUCCAUACUAAUAUAACAAAUCUCAUUCAUUAUCUAUACCAUAAGGCUAUAUCAAGCUCCAUAUAAGUAGAACAUGCACAUACAAAAUACAAGGUAUUACAUCCUCCUCCUCCCCUUUAGGAACAUUCAUUCUUGAAUGUUAGCAUAACUGUCGAACUUAAACAAGUUCAAGCCUAAGGUUAAUAUUCCAUUAUCACACUGUACUUAUAUAUUACACUUACUUGUUAUUGUUCCAAUUCAGCAUCUUGGACUCUUUCUUUGUAUCCGAAUAAAUAGGGGUACAUGGAUUUCAUCACUUCUUCUCCUUCCCAUAUGAUCUCUUCUACUUGUUGGUUUCUUCAAAGUACUUUUAUAGAAGCUAUUUCUUUAUUCCUUAAAUUCUUAACUUGUCAAUCAAAAAUUGCAAUAGGUAUUUAUUCAUAAGUGAGAUGUUUUAUAAUUUGUACAUCUUUGGUAGGAGUAAUAUGAGUUAGAUCCCUGAUGCACUUUUAAAGUAUUGAGAUGUGAAACACUAGAUGGAAUGUUGUGAGAUCUUGGGGUAGAUCUAAAUCAUAGGUGACUAGGCCAAACUGUAAGAACCCGCAAAGUUCCCUUGUAGUUUGAGCCUUAAGUGUGUCUAGUGAAGUAUAAUUUUGGCCCUAAAAGAUUAAGAAGAGACUUCCCAAGUUAUUAGUGUUUUAAUAUUAUUGAAUUUUUCCUGAAAAUGGCUUCUUAUGGUGUAGAGAAUUGAAUUAGCUUUCCAAUGAUACCAAUUUCGUCCAAAUCCGAUAUCGGGGUGAGAAGUUAUGGCCCUUUUACUAAAGGUUGUCAAAACUGCCUAGGUGCGACGGACAAUCCAACGGACGGUCGAGUCUGUGAUGGAACAUAUCUUGGACCAAAACUACCACUAUUUUGUUUAAGAUUUCUCUUCUUUUACAUCUUUUAUGACCCGGUUGACCCAAAAGAAUGUUAAGUUCCAGUGGUCAAAUUCCUAUUAGAAGAGUUUUUAGGAGUUGAUGGUUAGACUUACUUAAGACCCUGUGUUGACUUUGCCUGAUGAUAUAGAUGGUUUUGUGGUGUAUUGUGAUGCCUCUAGAGUUGGUUUGUGUUGUGUGUUGAUGAAAAAAGGUAAGGUUAUAUACUAUGCCUCUAGAAAGUUGAAGUCGUAUGAAAAGAAUUACCUAAUCCAUGAUCUUGAGUUAGCUGAUAUAGUCUUUGCUUUGAAAAUCUGGAGACACUAUCUUUAUGGUGUUCAUGUUGAUGUGUUUACUGAUCAUAAGAGCCUGCAGUAUGUGUUUACUCAGAGUGAGUUGAAUCUUAUGCAGAGGAGGUGGUUAUAGUUGUUAAAAGACUAUGAUAUGAGUGUGUUGUAUCACUCGAGGAAGGACAAUAUAGUGGCGGAUGCACUUAGCAGAUUGUCUAUGGGUAGUGUUGCUCAUGUAGAUAAAGGUUAGAAAGAGUUAGCUCAUGAUGUGCAUCAUCUGGCUAGAUUGGGUGUUAGGUUGCUUGAUUUAGCUGAGGGAAGUACUUUGGUGCAAAGUAUUUUUGAAUCCUUUUUAGUUUCAAAAGUGAAAGAGAAACAAGAUAGAGAUCCUAGUUUUGUCAGACUGAAGGAGGCAGUUAAGGACCAAAAGGUAGAGGUUUUCUCCCAAGGGGGAGAUGGCAUAUUGAGAUUGCAAGGUAGAUUAUGCAUUCCAUGUGUUGGUUAUUUGAGGUAGAGGAUUAUGGCUGAAGCACAUGGCAUGUGGUAUUCUAUUCAUCCCGGCACUACCAAGAUGUACCACGACUUACGGGAAAUCUAUUGGUGGAAUGGUAUGAAGAAGGAUAUAGCUUAGUUUGAAGCAAAGUGUGCAAUAUGGAAACAUGAUAGGUAGAUCACCAAAGACCUGGUUGUGUGAUACAAGAUUUUGGUAUACCCACUUGGAAGUUGAAGGUGGUGAAUAUGGACUUUAUGACCGGGUUACCCCUUUCGCAUUGUCAUCAUGUUUCUAUUUGUGUUGUUGUAGACAGGCUGACUAAGUCCACACACUUCUUGCCCAUGCAUACAUCUUAUACAGCUGAGGAUUAUGCUAGAUUGUAUAUCUGAGAGUUAGUCAGGCUGCACAGAGUUCCCUCAUCUAUCAUUUUGGAUAGGGGUACUCAAUUUACUUUUCUAUUUUGUAGGGAGUUUCAGCAGGGUCUUGGUACCCAAGUUCUUUUGAGUUUUACUUUUCAUCCGCAGACAGAUGAACAGGCUGAUAAGACCAUUCAGACCCUAGAAGACAUGUUAAGGGCAUGUGCUUUUGAUUUCAAAGGAAGUUAAGAUGAGCAUUUGCCAUGAAUAGAGUUUGCCUAUAACAAUAGGUACCAUGCUACCAUUGAUAUGGCACCAUUUGAGGGCUUGUAUGAUAGAAGAUAUAGAUCACCCAUAGGUUGGUUUGAAGUGUGUGAAGCUGCCGUGAUUGGGCCUGAUGUAGUAUUUGGAUCUAUAGAGAAAGUUAAGUUGACUAGAGAGAGGUUACAAAUAGCUUAGAUUUGUCACAAGUCAUAUGCUGAUGUGAGAAGAAGAGACCUUGAGUUUGAAGUGACUGAAUUGGUGCACUUGAAGAUUCCCCCUAUGAAAGGGGUGAAGAGGUUUUGUUAAAAGGGAAAGCUUAGUCCCCUUAUGUUGGCCCGUAUAGAAUUUUGAGUCGUGUUGGGAAAAUAGCCUAUGAGGUUGUGUUUCCUGCAGAGUUGACAACCGUUUAUCCUAUUUUUUAUGUCUCUAUGUUUAAGAAGCAUAUUCGUGAUUCCGUUGUGGUAGAUCCUUCAGAGAGUGCUAAUAUUCAGAAUAGUCUUUCAUUCGAUGAGAUUCCCGUUGAGAUCCUAUAUUUUUAGAUCCGUAGACUGAGGAACAAAGAGGCUCCCUUGGUCAAAGUGUUGUGGCGGAACCAGUUAGUUGAGGGCACUACUUGGGAGGCAGAAUAAGACAUGCGAGCCAAGUACCCGCACCUCUUUUCUGCAAGUUCAGAUCAAUUCGAAGGUAUUAUUCUUCCUUAAUUCAUCCUUUCUAAUCUAAAGUUCAGCUAUAUAUCUAUUCUUGCAUGAGUUCUUGCAAUUUUUGAGGUAUUCAAGAGUUUAGAAAGAUUUUGAUCCCAUUUAGGCAAUUGCUUCAGCUAUGUGAACUAUGUUUUUGUGUGUUCCUAGUCUAACAAGCAACAUUUGAGGAUGAAUGUUUCCAAGGGGGAGAUAUUAUAAGACCCCGCAAAGUUUUCUUGUAGUUUGAGCCUUGAGCAUGUCAAGUAAAGUGUAAUUCUAGCCCUAAAAGAUUGAUAAGAUACUUCCCAAGCGAUUAUUGUUUUAAUCUUGUUGAAGUUUUCCUAAAAAUGACUUCCUAUAGUGUAGAGAAUUGAAUUAGCUUUCCAACGAUACCAAUUUUGUCCAAAUCCGGCAUCGGGGUGAGAAGUUAUGGCCGUUUUACUGAGAGUUGUUAGAACUACCUAGGUGCGACGGACGAUCUGACGGAUCAUCGAGUCUGCGAUGGGCCAUCGCUCAGCCUGUCACAACCAAGGUAGUAACUCUCUUUUCUUUCCCAAGUGUGACAGCAAGGAUGACGAACCGUCAAGAGUCCGAUAGACCGUCGCUGAGACCGUUUCCACUGAGACAGUAUGGUCUUAUCCUAGCCAAUAUGCGACGGAUAAUCCCAAGGACCGUCAAGACUGUGAAGGACCAUCGCUUUGACCAUCACAUUGAGGUAGUGUGUUUUUUUCCGACCAACGUUUGACGGGCGAUCUAACGGACCAUCAGACUAGCGACAGACCGUUGCUUGGACCAUCGCAGGCCCCGUUUAGUAUUUUUAACUCAUUUUUAAAAAGGAGUUUUAGUAUUUUCCACUCUUUUAUCAACCAAAUAUAUUCCAAGCGAAGAAAAUGACUUCAUUCAUCAUCUAAAACACAAGAGAGCUAGGGUUUGUCCCUCAAGAUCAAAUCUAAAACCAUUCUUCAAGAAAUCCAAGAACUCACCAUAGAAUCUACAAAUUGAUUUGAGAUUUAAGUUCCCCAAGUUCAAGGGUUGCAAGAACCCUCUCUCAAGAGUAAGAAGAAGAGUUUGAAUCAAUCUUGUUCAUCCAAUUUCAUAAUCUAAGGUAUGUGGGGUUUUGAACAUGGGUAAUCCUUUCACCCUUGUGCCCAAAGGCAUAUUUAAAGUAUAAUUUUCUGCAAUUUAUGAGAUUUUACAUAAUAUUGAAUUGGUGUUUUUCACCCAUUUUUAUUGGUUGCAAGAUUUUGAUAUUUUCCAUGAAUUGAGAGUCUAAUGGCAUGAUUUUUACAUGUUUUCUUGAGAAAUUGCAGCUGGGUCUAUACCCCAUGAUUUUAAUUCUUGAGAAGUUAUAGUUCAAAUGUUUGAGAUAUUGAAGUAUAUGAGUAUGUUGAGAUUAUUAGCUAAAUUGCUGUAAAUUCUAGAUUUCUAUAUGAUUUAUAAAUCCAUAUGCUAUCUAUUAUGCAUUAUGAUGAGUUUUAACUUGAGAUUGAAUUAUGGGUAAUGAAGCCCUACUUGAGACUUGCAAUACUAUGAACUAUUGUGCAAUAAUCACCCAUGAUUUAUGUAUUUUAAGAUUAUUGAGAAAUGUUUUGACCUAAUGGUCAUAGUGUUUUGAAAUCCACUCUACCACAUAAGAUUAAAAAUUUGAUUAUUGGGUACUUAUGAACCAUAAUAUUAUUUUGAAAGUGGAUUUUCAUUAGAUGAGUAAGAUAAACUAAAGUGAGUAGUAUUUAGCACCGAGUUAGGUAAGUUACUACGGUUUCUUACCUCAGAACUAUGUGCCACCGUGGGUUUGAGAUUUUGGGAUUGAGGCCGAGAUAAUUAGGCUCGAGGCCGAGAUAAGUGUUCACUGAGUUAAGGUUAUACUUCUUGGCAAGAGUAUGACGCAUCUCCCAAAUGUGAGGUUUCUUCCUUAGGAGGAAAAGACGUUGGACUCCAUGUAGCUCACAUUGCUUAUGUCAGUUAUAAGAAUCUCCCUAAAAUAAAUUAUUUUCCAUUGAGAUAAAAUAUUUUUCCUAAAGCUUUAAGAUGAAAUAUUUUCUAAAGUUAACGAAUUACUUUAGAGUAUUUUCCAAAGAAGGAAGUAGUUUUAUCUACUAAUAAGAGUUAAUCAUCAGUUUUUAAACCAAAUUCAUAUGAUUCUGAGUUCCAAGUUUUUGAGUUCAAAAGAGUUAUAAGUUCUUAAGCAUUAAAGAAGUUUUACUCUCCAUGAAAUAUAUGCAUUAGUUGAAAGUAUUGUUUAAAGGAUCCUUCAUCCUAUGAGUAAUGAGAAUAAGAGGAGAUCACAGAUUUUAAAGACAAUAUGUAAUGACUCAAGAGAUCUGUGUUACAUGCUUUAUCCUAUAUGAUUUAUGAGUUUUACAUUUUAGACUUAUUCAAGACAUAUGAGUCAUUCCUAUUUCAUACAUUAUUUGAUUAAAAAGUAUUGAUAUUGUUUUAAGUAAAUACAUACACCCCCAUAUAUUCAGUAGAAUCCCAAGUGUUGAUCCACAUACACGUCUAAGUGCUACAUUGUCUUAUAAUGUAGGUUCAGGUGCUUAUUCCCAGCCUCAUCAAUGAUUCCUGAGUACCUUUGUCUAUAUUUUUCCAGUGGUGAGUCCUUAUGGUUCGAGGGCCUAUCUUUAGAUAUUUCAGUAUUUGAAUGUUUACGUUAUUACUUUUAGUUCAAUUUGAGUCAGUUGGGGACCUGUCCUAAUGGCUCUCGAGUUCAUAGAGUAGUAGAGGCUUUGUCAGACUAGUUAUCAGAUUGUGGUUGCAUUGAGAUUUGUAGUAUUGUGGUUGUUUGGACUGAGUAUUAUCUUCGUAUUUUAUUUCAUUUGAUAUGACAGUGCUAGUGUUUUAUAUAUUCCUUCUUGAAUGAGUUAUUAUGAGAAGUGAUAGGCUCAAAGGGUUAACUUGGGGAAACUUAUAGUCUGAGGCACCGUGUGACAUCUCGGGAGGUGAUUUUGGGUCAUUACACAAGCCUUCAAAUAAUCAAAUAUGGGCCGAUAUAAUGUGGAUGUAGUUUCCCUUUCUUACCAAAUCUCAUUACUCCUUUCAUUGGUGACACCUUCAGGAAUACCCAAUCACCAAUAACAAACUCUAGGCCCCUUUCUUCUGAUAUCCACAUAUGACUUGUGUCAACUUUGGGCUGCUUGUAGACACCGUUGGAUCAUCUUAACCUUUUCUAUAGCUUGAUGAACAAGAUCUGGCCCAAAUAAAGUUACCCAUAUGGAAUCAAACUUUCGAGAUGUAGGUGGCAAAUCAGCAAUGAAAUCCAUGUUGAUCAUGUCCCACUUGCAUAGUGUUCAUGUUUAGAUGUACCAUAUAUGGCUUGUUCAUGUUGAUCAUAUACCUUAUUCCAUCCAGAUCUUGUCUAUCAAGUUAUGGAAAAUGUUAAGGUGAUCCAACGACGUCUAGAAAUAGCCUAAAGUCGACACAGGUCAUAUAAAGAUAUCAGAAGAAGUGGGCUAUGGAAAAGGUUAAGGUGAUCCAAUGGCAUCUAGAAGCAUCCCAAAGUCGACACAAGUCAUAUGCAGAUUUAUCUUGGGUAUAUUUAUACGCCUAAGUUUGGAGAACAAAGUGCCUAGUUUAUUAUGUUUUUACCCUACAUCUAUGUGAUUGAGCUAACUGAUGUUAUUUACAAGAUUUCAGGUAUUAAUAAGGUAGAUGGACACAUAAUGGGACUAUGGAAUGCGGAUGGCAUAUGACAUAAGAGAGAGUAGCAUUUUGGAUCAAAUAUGGCGCCUAGAAACUAUGUUCAAGACUAAUUUUUAAUUUAUAAUUAGUUUAGGGACUUAGAAGGCAAUUAUGAGAGAAGAGAUUGUUAAAAAGACUUGAUGCUGAAAAUUUAUGAGAAUUCAUUAUUCUGUAUUAUUCUUGAUUGGAGAGUGGCAGCUUAGCACUGAGUGGAAAAACACACAACUUCAUCUUCUUCACCAAGGUUGUGUUCACUUUUUGGAAUGAUGAAUAUUUCUAUUGUGAUUCCCGUUUUAUUAAUGAGUAGCUAAGUUUAUUAGUUAGGUUUAUGGAAGCCUUGUAGCAU
This 22708-nucleotide long non-coding RNA is filed under the name Capsicum annuum. Its description in RNAcentral is "long non-coding RNA (CANN_LNC011993)". The record is from RNAcentral. Lineage: Eukaryota; Viridiplantae; Streptophyta; Magnoliopsida; Solanales; Solanaceae.